RNAcentral lists this ribosomal RNA (117 nucleotides) under Pseudomonas putida. RNAcentral describes it as "partial 23S ribosomal RNA". The stretch from base 1 to 103 matches the Rfam family "Bacterial large subunit ribosomal RNA", at positions 2823 to 2925 of the family's 2925-position model. The record is from RNAcentral. Lineage: Bacteria; Pseudomonadati; Pseudomonadota; Gammaproteobacteria; Pseudomonadales; Pseudomonadaceae.
CUCCCUGAAGGGCCGUCGAAGACUACGACGUUGAUAGGUUGGGUGUGUAAGCGCUGUGAGGCGUUGAGCUAACCAAUACUAAUUGCCCGUGAGGCUUGACCAUAUAACACCCAAGCA